RNAcentral lists this ribosomal RNA (309 nucleotides) under Amphictene alata. RNAcentral describes it as "partial large subunit ribosomal RNA". It matches the Rfam family "Eukaryotic large subunit ribosomal RNA", at positions 42 to 340 of the family's 3401-position model. Lineage: Eukaryota; Metazoa; Annelida; Polychaeta; Terebellida; Pectinariidae. The record is from RNAcentral.
AUUAAUAAGCGGAGGAAAAGAAAAUAACCAUGAUUCCCCUAGUAACGGCGAGCGAAGCGGGAAAAGCCCAGACCAAAAUCUGCGGGUCUUUGGCCCGUCAGAGAUGUGGUCUUUGCGCCGGGGAUAUGCCAGCGGUGCCAGCCUUCUCAAGUUUCUUGGAAAGGGGCCUCCCAGAGAGGGUGCUAGGCCUGUAGGUGGGGGGUUGGCUCGUUGGCGCUUCCACGGCCUUAGAGUCGGGUUGUUUGGGAAUGCAGCCCAAAGUCGGUGGUAUGCUCCAUCUAAGGCUAAAUACCAGCACGAGUCCGAUAG